UACGUAGGGCGCAAGCGUUGUCCGGAAUUAUUGGGCGUAAAGAGCUCGUAGGCGGUCUGUCACGUCUGCCGUGAAAACCCGAGGCUUAACCUCGUGGCUUGCGGUGGAUACGGGCAGACUAGAGGUAGGUAGGGGAGAAUGGAAUUCCCGGUGUAGCGGUGAAAUGCGCAGAUAUCGGGAGGAACACCGGUGGCGAAGGCGGUUCUCUGGGCCUUACCUGACGCUGAGGAGCGAAAGCGUGGGGAGCGAACAGG
RNAcentral lists this ribosomal RNA (254 nucleotides) under uncultured bacterium. Its description in RNAcentral is "partial 16S ribosomal RNA". It matches the Rfam family "Bacterial small subunit ribosomal RNA", at positions 524 to 776 of the family's 1533-position model. The record is from RNAcentral.